This 2658-nucleotide ribosomal RNA is filed under the name Acinetobacter baumannii. RNAcentral describes it as "partial 23S ribosomal RNA". It matches the Rfam family "Bacterial large subunit ribosomal RNA". The record is from RNAcentral. Lineage: Bacteria; Pseudomonadati; Pseudomonadota; Gammaproteobacteria; Moraxellales; Moraxellaceae.
GAACGGGGAUCAGCCCAUUAAGUUAUGUGUGUUUUAGUGGAACGCUCUGGGAAGUGCGAACGUAGAGGGUGAUAUUCCCGUACACGAAAGGGCACACAUAAUGAUGACGAGUAGGGCGAGGCACGUGAAACCUUGUCUGAAUAUGGGGGGACCAUCCUCCAAGGCUAAAUACUCCUGACUGACCGAUAGUGAACCAGUACCGUGAGGGAAAGGCGAAAAGAACCCCUGUGAGGGGAGUGAAAUAGAUCCUGAAACCGCAUGCAUACAAGCAGUGGGAGCACCUUCGUGGUGUGACUGCGUACCUUUUGUAUAAUGGGUCAGCGACUUAUAUUCAGUAGCGAGGUUAACCGUAUAGGGGAGCCGUAGAGAAAUCGAGUCUUAAUAGGGCGUUUAGUUGCUGGGUAUAGACCCGAAACCAGGCGAUCUAUCCAUGAGCAGGUUGAAGGUUGGGUAACACUAACUGGAGGACCGAACCCACUGUCGUUGAAAAGCCAGGGGAUGACUUGUGGAUAGGGGGGAAAGGCUAAUCAAGCCUGGUGAUAGCUGGUUCUCCCCGAAAGCUAUUUAGGUAGCGCCUCGGACGAAUACCAUAGGGGGUAGAGCACUGUUUCGGCUAGGGGGUCAUCCCGACUUACCAAACCGAUGCAAACUCCGAAUACCUAUGAGUACUAUCCGGGAGACAGACUGCGGGUGCUAACGUCCGUAGUCAAGAGGAAAACAAUCCAGACCGCCAGCUAAGGCCCCAAAAUCAUAGUUAAGUGGGAAACGAUGUGGGAAGGCAUAGACAGCUAGGAGGUUGGCUUAGAAGCAGCCACCCUUUAAAGAAAGCGUAAUAGCUCACUAGUCGAGUCGGCCUGCGCGGAAGAUGUAACGGGGCUAAAACUAUGUGCCGAAGCUGCGGAUGUAUACUUUGUAUACGUGGUAGGGGAGCGUUCUGUAAGCCGAUGAAGGUGUGUUGAGAAGCAUGCUGGAGGUAUCAGAAGUGCGAAUGCUGACGUGAGUAACGACAAAACGGGUGAAAAACCCGUUCGCCGAAAGACCAAGGGUUCCAGUCCAACGUUAAUCGGGGCUGGGUGAGUCGACCCCUAAGGCGAGGCCGAAAGGCGUAGUCGAUGGGAAAAUGGUUAAUAUUCCAUUACUUCUGUGUAAUGCGAUGAGAGGACGGAGAAGGCUAAAUCAGCCUGGCGUUGGUUGUCCAGGUGAAAGGAUGUAGGCAUGUAUCUUAGGCAAAUCCGGGGUACUCUAUGCUGAGAUCUGAUAGCAAGCUGUACUUGUACAGCGAAGUGGUUGAUGCCAUGCUUCCAGGAAAAGUCUCUAAGCUUCAGUUACACAGGAAUCGUACCCGAAACCGACACAGGUGGUCAGGUCGAGUAGACCAAGGCGCUUGAGAGAACUCUGCUGAAGGAACUAGGCAAAAUGGUACCGUAACUUCGGGAGAAGGUACGCUGUUGUUGGUGAUGGAACUCGCUUCCUGAGCUGACGACAGCCGCAGAAACCAGGCCGCUGCAACUGUUUAUUAAAAACAUAGCACUCUGCAAACACGAAAGUGGACGUAUAGGGUGUGAUGCCUGCCCGGUGCUGGAAGGUUAAUUGAUGGGGUUAGCGUAAGCGAAGCUCUUGAUCGAAGCCCCAGUAAACGGCGGCCGUAACUAUAACGGUCCUAAGGUAGCGAAAUUCCUUGUCGGGUAAGUUCCGACCUGCACGAAUGGCAUAAUGAUGGCGGCGCUGUCUCCAGCAGAGGCUCAGUGAAAUCGAAAUCGCUGUGAAGAUGCAGUGUACCCGCGGCUAGACGGAAAGACCCCGUGAACCUUUACUGCAGCUUGACACUGAACUUUGACCUUACUUGUGUAGGAUAGGUGGGAGGCUUUGAAGCUGGAACGCUAGUUCCAGUGGAGCCGUCCUUGAAAUACCACCCUGGUAAUGUUGAGGUUCUAACUCUGUCCCGUGAUCCGGGACGAGGACCGUGUCUGGUGGGUAGUUUGACUGGGGCGGUCUCCUCCUAAAGAGUAACGGAGGAGUACGAAGGUGCGCUCAGCGUGGUCGGAAAUCACGCGUAGAGUAUAAAGGCAAAAGCGCGCUUAACUGCGAGACCCACAAGUCGAGCAGGUACGAAAGUAGGUCUUAGUGAUCCGGUGGUUCUGUAUGGAAGGGCCAUCGCUCAACGGAUAAAAGGUACUCUGGGGAUAACAGGCUGAUACCGCCCAAGAGUUCAUAUCGACGGCGGUGUUUGGCACCUCGAUGUCGGCUCAUCUCAUCCUGGGGCUGAAGCAGGUCCCAAGGGUAUGGCUGUUCGCCAUUUAAAGAGGUACGCGAGCUGGGUUUAGAACGUCGUGAGACAGUUCGGUCCCUAUCUACCGUGGGCGCUGGAAAUUUGAGAGGAUCUGCUCCUAGUACGAGAGGACCAGAGUGGACGAACCUCUGGUGUACCGGUUGUGACGCCAGUCGCAUCGCCGGGUAGCUAUGUUCGGAAGGGAUAACCGCUGAAAGCAUCUAAGCGGGAAGCCUACCUCAAGAUAAGAUUUCCCUAGGACUUUAUGUCCUCUAAAGAGCCGUUCGAGACUAGGACGUUGAUAGGUUGGAUGUGGAAGCAUAGUGAUAUGUGAAGCUGACCAAUACUAAUUGCUCGUGAGGCUUGACUAUACAACACCCAAGCAGUUG